This 202-nucleotide long non-coding RNA is filed under the name Brachypodium distachyon (stiff brome). RNAcentral's name for it is "long non-coding RNA (BDIS_LNC004540)". The record is from RNAcentral. Lineage: Eukaryota; Viridiplantae; Streptophyta; Magnoliopsida; Poales; Poaceae.
AUAGACCCGUUAAAGAGGGAAAAAAAUGAAAUAAUACUAAAACUUUGUAAAAAAAUAAACAAUUUUGGGCAUGGUUCCAUGUUACAAUUAUAUAAGCUUUGGAAAAAUGACAAGUCAAUACACAAAAUUAUAAUGGUACAUGUUUCACAAAAUACAAGACUUCGAAAGUAAACCUCCAAACUUCAAUCCCUUGAGGCCAACC